Molecule: ribosomal RNA, 491 nt
Filed under: uncultured bacterium
Lineage: Bacteria
Description: bacterial SSU rRNA
Rfam family: Bacterial small subunit ribosomal RNA
Source: RNAcentral
CGAGGACGACGCUGGCGGCGUGCUUAACACAUGCAAGUCGAACGGUGAAGGGAUCAGCUUGCUGGUUCUGGAUGAGUGGCGAACGGGUGAGUAACACGUGAGUAACCUGCCCCCUUCUUCUGGAUAACCGCAUGAAAGUGUGGCUAAUACGGGAUAUUCUGGGUCUGUCGCAUGACGGGUCUGGGAAAGAUAUUGUUUCGGUGGGGGAUGGGCUCGCGGCCUAUCAGCUUGUUGGUGGGGUGAUGGCCUACCAAGGCGGUGACGGGUAGCCGGCCUGAGAGGGUGGACGGUCACACUGGGACUGAGACACGGCCCAGACUCCUACGGGAGGCAGCAGUGGGGAAUAUUGCACAAUGGGCGCAAGCCUGAUGCAGCGACGCCGCGUGAGGGAUGGAGGCCUUCGGGUUGUAAACCUCUUUCGCCAGUGAAGCAGGCCUGUCCCUUUUGUGGGUGGGUUGACGGUAGCUGGAUAAGAAGCGCCGGCUAACUAC